AGAGUUUGAUCCUGGCUCAGGAUGAACGCUGGCGGCGUGCCUAAUACAUGCAAGUCGAGCGAACGGACGAGAAGCUUGCUUCUCUGAUGUUAGCGGCGGACGGGUGAGUAACACGUGGAUAACCUACCUAUAAGACUGGGAUAACUUCGGGAAACCGGAGCUAAUACCGGAUAAUAUUUUGAACCGCAUGGUUCAAAAGUGAAAGACGGUCUUGCUGUCACUUAUAGAUGGAUCCGCGCUGCAUUAGCUAGUUGGUAAGGUAACGGCUUACCAAGGCAACGAUGCAUAGCCGACCUGAGAGGGUGAUCGGCCACACUGGAACUGAGACACGGUCCAGACUCCUACGGGAGGCAGCAGUAGGGAAUCUUCCGCAAUGGGCGAAAGCCUGACGGAGCAACGCCGCGUGAGUGAUGAAGGUCUUCGGAUCGUAAAACUCUGUUAUUAGGGAAGAACAUAUGUGUAAGUAACUGUGCACAUCUUGACGGUACCUAAUCAGAAAGCCACGGCUAACUACGUGCCAGCAGCCGCGGUAAUACGUAGGUGGCAAGCGUUAUCCGGAAUUAUUGGGCGUAAAGCGCGCGUAGGCGGUUUUUUAAGUCUGAUGUGAAAGCCCACGGCUCAACCGUGGAGGGUCAUUGGAAACUGGAAAACUUGAGUGCAGAAGAGGAAAGUGGAAUUCCAUGUGUAGCGGUGAAAUGCGCAGAGAUAUGGAGGAACACCAGUGGCGAAGGCGACUUUCUGGUCUGUAACUGACGCUGAUGUGCGAAAGCGUGGGGAUCAAACAGGAUUAGAUACCCUGGUAGUCCACGCCGUAAACGAUGAGUGCUAAGUGUUAGGGGGUUUCCGCCCCUUAGUGCUGCAGCUAACGCAUUAAGCACUCCGCCUGGGGAGUACGACCGCAAGGUUGAAACUCAAAGGAAUUGACGGGGACCCGCACAAGCGGUGGAGCAUGUGGUUUAAUUCGAAGCAACGCGAAGAACCUUACCAAAUCUUGACAUCCUUUGACAACUCUAGAGAUAGAGCCUUCCUCUUCGGGGGACAAAGUGACAGGUGGUGCAUGGUUGUCGUCAGCUCGUGUCGUGAGAUGUUGGGUUAAGUCCCGCAACGAGCGCAACCCUUAAGCUUAGUUGCCAUCAUUAAGUUGGGCACUCUAAGUUGACUGCCGGUGACAAACCGGAGGAAGGUGGGGAUGACGUCAAAUCAUCAUGCCCCUUAUGAUUUGGGCUACACACGUGCUACAAUGGACAAUACAAAGGGCAGCGAAACCGCGAGGUCAAGCAAAUCCCAUAAAGUUGUUCUCAGUUCGGAUUGUAGUCUGCAACUCGACUACAUGAAGCUGGAAUCGCUAGUAAUCGUAGAUCAGCAUGCUACGGUGAAUACGUUCCCGGGUCUUGUACACACCGCCCGUCACACCACGAGAGUUUGUAACACCCGAAGCCGGUGGAGUAACCUUUUAGGAGCUAGCCGUCGAAGGUGGGACAAAUGAUUGGGGUGAAGUCGUAACAAGGUAGCCGUAUCGGAAGGGGCGGCUGGAUCACCU
This 1540-nucleotide ribosomal RNA is filed under the name Staphylococcus aureus M0267. RNAcentral's name for it is "16S ribosomal RNA". It matches the Rfam family "Bacterial small subunit ribosomal RNA". The record is from RNAcentral. Lineage: Bacteria; Bacillati; Bacillota; Bacilli; Caryophanales; Staphylococcaceae.